Molecule: ribosomal RNA, 500 nt
Filed under: uncultured bacterium
Lineage: Bacteria
Description: partial 16S ribosomal RNA
Rfam family: Bacterial small subunit ribosomal RNA
Source: RNAcentral
AUUGAACGCUGGCGGAAUGCUUUACACAUGCAAGUCGAACGGCAGCACGGACUUCGGUCUGGUGGCGAGUGGCGAACGGGUGAGUAAUGUAUCGGAACGUGCCCAGUCGUGGGGGAUAACGUAGUGAAAAUUACGCUAAUACCGCAUACGAUCUAUGGAUGAAAGCGGGGGAUCGCAAGACCUCGCGCGAUUGGAGCGGCCGAUAUAAGAUUAGGUAGUUGGUGGGGUAAAGGCCCACCAAGCCAACGAUCUGUAGCUGGUCUGAGAGGACGACCAGCCACGCUGGAACGGAGACACGUUCCAGACUCCUACGGGAGGCAGCAGUGGGGAAUUUUGGACAAUGGGCGAAAGCCUGAUCCAGCCAUUCCGUGUGCAGGAUGAAGGCCCUCGGGUUGUAAACUGCUUUUGUACAGAACGAAAAGGUUUCUACUAAUACUAGGAGCUCAUGACGGUACUGUAAGAAUAAGCACCGGCUAACUACGUGCCAGCCGCCGCCGUAA